AGAACGAACGCUGGCGGCAUGCCUAAUACAUGCAAGUCGAACGAACUCUUCGGAGUUAGUGGCGCACGGGUGCGUAACGCGUGGGAAUCUGCCCCUUGGUUCGGAAUAACAGUUGGAAACGACUGCUAAUACCGGAUGAUGACGAAAGUCCAAAGAUUUAUCGCCAAGGGAUGAGCCCGCGUAGGAUUAGCUAGUUGGUGAGGUAAAGGCUCACCAAGGCAACGAUCCUUAGCUGGUCUGAGAGGAUGAUCAGCCACACUGGGACUGAGACACGGCCCAGACUCCUACGGGAGGCAGCAGUAGGGAAUAUUGGACAAUGGGCGAAAGCCUGAUCCAGCAAUGCCGCGUGAGUGAUGAAGGCCUUAGGGUUGUAAAGCUCUUUUACCCGAGAUGAUAAUGACAGUAUCGGAGAAUAAGCCCCGGACUAACUCCGCGACCAGCAGCCGC
Molecule: ribosomal RNA, 447 nt
Filed under: uncultured soil bacterium
Lineage: Bacteria
Description: bacterial SSU rRNA
Rfam family: Bacterial small subunit ribosomal RNA
Source: RNAcentral